Brachypodium distachyon (stiff brome) is the source of this 602-nucleotide long non-coding RNA. RefSeq lists it as uncharacterized. The record is from RefSeq and is a predicted model, not a curated record. Lineage: Eukaryota; Viridiplantae; Streptophyta; Magnoliopsida; Poales; Poaceae. The transcript is spliced from 3 exons.
AUGGAGGAGAGCACGGCGAGAGGCCGUGAUGGAAUGUGUUCCCAGGAGCCCGAUCCUGCGGAUGGAACUGCCUCUGCACUCGGCAACUCGCCGCCGUCCGCCGCCCUCUCUCCCGCAGUGCAUGACGGUACGAGGAGGCAAGAAGGACAAGCGGACGGGCCAGAUGAUGAAGCUUUGCUGACCAUCAACUCCGAAGGAUGGCAGCGGAGGGUCAGAGUCCCCGCCGGUGCCAUGGAGCGAGCGUCCAAUCCGUGUAGGACAACCGCGUUGGAGGAGUCGGUCAAGAAAUUCGCGGAGAAGAAAAGCGAUUCGUCGUGUACCCUGAAAUAGGAACUAAAUUCGACAGCCUUGACGAUGCUUACAAUUUCUACAACCUAUAUUCUUGGGAGAUUGGUUUUGGGGUGAGAUAUUCGAAGUGCAGGCUCAACGUGCACAGGCAGAAGUGCAUGCAGGAGAUUGCGUGCGGUUGCGCGGGGAAGCCGGUGAAGGAUAACACCAGGACUAUCCGUUGUGCUUGCCCAGCGCUGAUAAGACUUCUUCGUUCAGAUGACAGAGGUUGGUACAUAUGUGAACACAGGGAGGCUCACAAUCAUCCACUGUCC